This 406-nucleotide ribosomal RNA is filed under the name uncultured bacterium. Its description in RNAcentral is "partial 16S ribosomal RNA". It matches the Rfam family "Bacterial small subunit ribosomal RNA", at positions 30 to 526 of the family's 1533-position model. The record is from RNAcentral.
AUUGAACGCUGGCGGCAGGCUUAACACAUGCAAGUCGAGCGAGCGGCGGACGGGUGAGUAAUGUCUGGGAAACUGCCUGAUGGAGGGGGAUAACUACUGGAAACGGACGCUAAUACCGCAUACCAUCAGAUGUGCCCAGAUGGGAGUAGCUGGUAGGUGGGGUAAUGGCUCACCUAGGCGACGAUGCCUAGCUGGUCUGAGAGGAUGACCAGCCAGACUGGAACUGGAACCCGGUCCAGACUCCUACGGGAGGCAGCAGUGGGGAAUAGUGCACAAUUGGCGCAAGCCUGAUGAAGCCAUGCCGCGGGUGUGAAGAAGGCCUUCGGGUUUUAAAGCACUUUCAGAGAGGAGGCGUUACUCUCAGAAGAAGCACCGGCUAACUCCGUGCCAGCAGCCGCGGUAAUUC